Molecule: long non-coding RNA, 557 nt
Organism: Mytilus californianus (California mussel)
Lineage: Eukaryota; Metazoa; Mollusca; Bivalvia; Mytilida; Mytilidae
Exons: 2
Source: RefSeq, a predicted model, not a curated record
UCCAAGAAAGUCGCAGUUGUAUUUAUUUUGGUAACCGCUGUUUCUAUGGCUAUUGCUCAGGCUCCAGAAGAAGGUACAAUUGCACCCACCACCGUUAGCCAUUCGGGAGGCCUUGCAGCAGGUCCUCCGGCGUACUACAAUCCAGCACAAGAGGCCAGAGAUCGUCUUGUAACUUUCCUUUUACUUAAGUCAAUGAUGGGCGGUGAUGGUGAAAGAAGUGGAAUGAUACAAACUAUGUUCAUGCUAAGAGCAUUCGGUCUCUUUUCCUAAUUCUUAAACUUUUAAGGUCAUUUGUCACACAAUUCAUAUAUCAGCUUAAUAAACAUAAAUUUCAUAUUCGAUAAACUUUAAUUUCUGUUCAUUAGGUUUUUUUCAGUAUUCAAACAAUUGAAGACUUUAACCAAACAAAGUAUAUACUGACUUCAUUUUUUUCCCCGUAAUAUUUUUAUAUGUGUAACCAGGAAAUAAAAUUAUUACAAUGUUAUGUUAAUACAUGCAAAGACUUAAAGCAGUUCCAAUUAUUUAUAGCCGUUCCAAUUAAAGAUGACAAAAAGGCA